GAUGAACGCUGGCGGCGUGCCUAAUACAUGCAAGUCGAGCGAACGGACGAGAAGCUUGCCUCUCUGAUGUUAGCGGCGGACGGGUGAGUAACACGUGGAUAACCUACCUAUAAGACUGGGAUAACUUCGGGAAACCGGAGCUAAUACCGGAUAAUAUUUUGAACCGCAUGGUUCAAAAGUGAAAGACGGUCUUGCUGUCACUUAUAGAUGGAUCCGCGCUGCAUUAGCUAGUUGGUAAGGUAAUGGCUUACCAAGGCAACGAUGCAUAGCCGACCUGAGAGGGUGAUCGGCCACACUGGAACUGAGACACGGUCCAGACUCCUACGGGAGGCAGCAGUAGGGAAUCUUCCGCAAUGGGCGAAAGCCUGACGGAGCAACGCCGCGUGAGUGAUGAAGAUCUUCGGAUCGUAAAACUCUGUUAUUAGGGAAGAACAUAUGUGUAAGUAACUGUGCACAUCUUGACGGUACCUAAUCAGAAAGCCACGGCUAACUACGUG
This 497-nucleotide ribosomal RNA is filed under the name uncultured bacterium. Its description in RNAcentral is "partial 16S ribosomal RNA". It matches the Rfam family "Bacterial small subunit ribosomal RNA", at positions 28 to 507 of the family's 1533-position model. The record is from RNAcentral.